UUAGUGCCUUUAUAUGGAACCAUCUAUCCUUAUAUCGAUUGGAAGAUGUUCUUUAUGUAGGCUCCUGU
Non-coding RNA from Capitella teleta, 68 nucleotides. Lineage: Eukaryota; Metazoa; Annelida; Polychaeta; Capitellidae. The record is from Rfam.